GUAUUUUGUGAUGUUUUACCUCUUAUUGAAGUAUGGAAGUGAUGGAUAUGUGUAUGAAUUAAACAAAGAAACGAUGAUAUUAUGACGAUGAAUGAAGGUACUGUAUUAAUGGAUAGUAAUGGAAUAGUGAUUACAAUAGAAAACUGAAUAGAAGAAGAUAACAAACUAACAGCAAAAGUGCUGCUAGCCCACAAAGCACAGCGUGCUCCCCAAAUCACCAAAGGUGACCCCUACCAAGCAAAUAACAAAAUUCUUAGCUAAUCCCUCUCACUCCCCCUUUCCCACUAUAUAGUAACUAACUCAAGCAUAUCCCUUCUUUUUGCCAGCUCAUCCUCCCUUAUUUCUUUCUCACGCUUACUNNNN
RNAcentral lists this long non-coding RNA (363 nucleotides) under Trifolium pratense (red clover). RNAcentral's name for it is "long non-coding RNA (TPRA_LNC002315)". The record is from RNAcentral. Lineage: Eukaryota; Viridiplantae; Streptophyta; Magnoliopsida; Fabales; Fabaceae.